CGGAGAAGAAGGAGAGGCACGGGUUGGAGAAGGAUUCCCGCUCGCUGUGGACCUGGGCGGGGUCCGUGCGUUUCUCUCUCGACCGGAUCAAUAGUCAAGUUAUUCACUGACUAUAUGGUUGAGGCGAAGGAAAACGUUGACAGGAACCUUGUUGCCACCAUUGCUAAUGGUACACAGGAUUCAGUCAAGCUCUUCAUGAAAAUAAUCUCACGUCAUUUGGAGGAGCAACCUCAAGGCAAGCACCCG
Eucalyptus grandis is the source of this 246-nucleotide long non-coding RNA. RefSeq lists it as uncharacterized. The record is from RefSeq and is a predicted model, not a curated record. NCBI's taxonomy places the organism in Eukaryota, Viridiplantae, Streptophyta, Magnoliopsida, Myrtales, Myrtaceae. The transcript has 3 exons.